RNAcentral lists this ribosomal RNA (915 nucleotides) under Plasmodium yoelii yoelii. RNAcentral describes it as "SSU rRNA". It matches the Rfam family "Eukaryotic small subunit ribosomal RNA", at positions 287 to 1141 of the family's 1831-position model. The record is from RNAcentral. Lineage: Eukaryota; Apicomplexa; Aconoidasida; Haemosporida; Plasmodiidae.
AGUGUGUAUCAAUCGAGUUUCUGACCUAUCAGCUUUUGAUGUUAGGGUAUUGACCUAACAUGGCUUUGACGGGUAACGGGGAAUUAGAGUUCGAUUCCGGAGAGGGAGCCUGAGAAAUAGCUACCACAUCUAAGGAAGGCAGCAGGCGCGUAAAUUACCCAAAUUCUAAAUAAGAGAGGUAGUGACAAGAAAUAACAAUAUAAGGCCAAAUUUUGGUUUAUAAUUGGAAUGAUGGGAAUUUAAAACCUUCCCAAAAAUCAAUUGGAGGGCAACUCUGGUGCCAGCAGCCGCGGUAAUUCCAGCUCCAAUAGCGUAUAUUAAAAUUGUUGCAGUUAAAACGCUCGUAGUUUAAUUUCAAGGGUAAUAUUGUUUUAAGUACUAACUUGGAGAAAAUUGCGACUUCUGUCACUGUUUUCAUCCUUGCUGAUGUUCUUUUAAUUACAGACCCUUUGAGAGCCCAUUAAUUUAUGACUGGGUUUCUCGUUACUUUGAGUAAAUUAGAGUGUUCAAACAGUUAAAGCGUUUUCGCGUUUGAAUAUUAUAGCAUGGAAUAACAACAUUGAAUAAGUCAAAAGUUUUUGAAAAACUUUUCUUAUUUUGGCUUAGUUACGAUUAAUAGGAGUAGCUUGGGGGCAUUUGUAUUCAGAUGUCAGAGGUGAAAUUCUUAGAUUUUCUGGAGACAAACAACUGCGAAAGCAUUUGCCUAAAAUACUUCCAUUAAUCAAGAACGAAAGUUAAGGGAGUGAAGACGAUCAGAUACCGUCGUAAUCUUAACCAUAAACUAUGCCGACUAGGUUUUGGAUGAAAAUUUAUAAAUAAGAUUUCCCUCCGGGGAAUUCUUAGAUUGCUUCCUUCAGUACCUUAUGAGAAAUCAAAGUCUUUGGGUUCUGGGGCGAGUAUUCGCGCAAGCGAGAA